AACACAAUAAGAAGGCAUGGGUCGGCAAAAUAAAGGUACAAGAAAGCUAUAGUAACUAUCUGACCCUGCCCUCCAUUAAGCUGUGUAGGGUUGCAUAAGAGUAACGCAUCAUGUUUAUCUUCCCUGUAUUCUUUAAAGAAGAUUCUUCUGCUUGUCACAUCAUUAUUUGCUCUUGUCUUCAUCUGUAAGAUCUUAGUGAGGCCCUGAAAAACGUUGAGCGCUGAAGAAAGUAGAAGCCGUGGUUAGGGAAGGUCUUCGGUUAGUGUUCGCCAUCACCUUAUCUUCUGUCAUUCUUUCUGCUAUGCGGCAAACCCCCAUUGUAAAGAAGCCUAUUCUUGCAAAAGGGACCCUCAUCAUCAUCUAAUUACAUUCAUCUCUGUUUCAGUCGAACAUCAUGCUCCUUGUGUACACUACAGUUAUUUCCUCCUUAUGGAAUAUGGUGCAUGAUAUUGUUGCUGGUUUCAAUCAAGGGAAUUAUCAAUCUGUUUUGAGCUUCCCAAUUGAAAGAGUGAGGUAUAUCAGCAACAUUGUUCCCAUACUCGACCUGUUGCAAAUGAAAAUACCUAAAAUAAAUUGCCUGUAAACAAAUAUCAUGACAUAUGAUUGAUCUUUUUGCAGCUUUUUCAAGGGUUGGUAAGCUUACAGUGUGGCAAAGAAGAAAAGAACCCUUUUGGGAUCAAGGACCCAGGAAGGUGAUGCGCGC
Molecule: long non-coding RNA, 703 nt
Filed under: Populus trichocarpa (black cottonwood)
Lineage: Eukaryota; Viridiplantae; Streptophyta; Magnoliopsida; Malpighiales; Salicaceae
Description: long non-coding RNA (PTRI_LNC001106)
Source: RNAcentral